This 394-nucleotide ribosomal RNA is filed under the name uncultured bacterium. RNAcentral's name for it is "partial 16S ribosomal RNA". It matches the Rfam family "Bacterial small subunit ribosomal RNA", at positions 338 to 729 of the family's 1533-position model. The record is from RNAcentral.
CCUACGGGAGGCAGCAGUGAGGAAUAUUGGUCAAUGGACGUGAGCCUGAACCAGCCAAGUCGCGUGAGGGAUGACGGUUCUAUGGGUCGUAAACCUCUUUUAUAUGGGAAUAAAGUGCUGCACGUGUCCCAUUUUGUAUGUACCUUAUGAAUAAGGAUCGGCUAACUCCGUGCCAGCAGCCGCGGUAAUACGGAGGAUCCGAGCGUUAUCCGGAUUUAUUGGGUUUAAAGGGUGCGUAGGUGGAUUUUUAAGUCAGUGGUGAAAGUCUGUGGCUCAACCGUAAAAUUGCCGUUGAAACUGGGAGGCUUGAGUACAUUUGAGGUGGGCGGAAUGCGUGGUGUAGCGGUGAAAUGCUUAGAUAUCACGAAGAACCCCGAUUGCGAAGGCAGCCCAC